Populus euphratica (Euphrates poplar) is the source of this 553-nucleotide long non-coding RNA. RefSeq lists it as uncharacterized. The transcript has 2 exons. The record is from RefSeq and is a predicted model, not a curated record. NCBI's taxonomy places the organism in Eukaryota, Viridiplantae, Streptophyta, Magnoliopsida, Malpighiales, Salicaceae.
CAUCCUUCUUCUAUGGCACACUGUUAGAAGAUAUUAUUUUAAUUUUUUUAAACUUGCAUGAAAAUCAUUAGUGAUAAAAAUAACACCUCACACACUCGUGUUUCAUGCAAAUUUAUAGGCUUUUCACUUGAAUAUGCUCCCUGUGCCCUUUUCCCCUCAACUAGCCUUUCUUUAGUUCUUGAAAUCACUUAGCAACAAUUCAAAAAAAGCAACCAACUAUGCAGUGAAUUUAUAAAUUUGAUAUAAACUCCAAAAGCAAGAAAUUACAAAACUAACAAAACAAAACUUGAUGACUAAUUCACGAAUAGCAAUGCAAAUUUGUAUGAAUAAUAUGACGAUUUGAAGACACGAAAUAAAAAAAAUCAGAAAGAGCUAAAUAAUUAUGAAUUAUCAAGAACUAAGGAUUUAAUUCAAGAAAAUUCCAAAAACUCAAGAAAAUCAACUAAACUACCCCAAUUUUCAAGAAACACAAACAAGACUACUAAAAGAUUCACGAAUCAAGACUAACCAAUUUCCCAAUGAUUAAGGUUUUCUCAAACAUGUAUUCAGCCAA